GAUGAACGCUGGCGGCGUGCCUAAUACAUGCAAGUCGAGCGAACAGACGAGGAGCUUGCUCCUCAGACGUUAGCGGCGGACGGGUGAGUAACACGUGGAUAACCUACCUAUAAGAAUGGGAUAACUUCGGGAAACCGGAGCUAAUACCGGAUAAUAUAUUGAACCGCAUGGUUCAAUAGUGAAAGACGGUUUUGCUGUCUCUUAUAGAUGGAUCCGCGCCGCAUUAGCUAGUUGGUAAGGUAACGGCUUACCAAGGCAACGAUGCGUAGCCGACCUGAGAGGGUGAUCGGCCACACUGGAACUGAGACACGGUCCAGACUCCUACGGGAGGCAGCAGUAGGGAAUCUUCCGCAAUGGGCGAAAGCCUGACGGAGCAACGCCGCGUGAGUGAUGAAGGUCUUCGGAUCGUAAAACUCUGUUAUUAGGGAAGAACAAAUGUGUAAGUAACUAUGCACGUCUUGACGGUACCUAAUCAGAAAGCCACGGCUAACUACGUG
RNAcentral lists this ribosomal RNA (497 nucleotides) under uncultured bacterium. RNAcentral describes it as "partial 16S ribosomal RNA". It matches the Rfam family "Bacterial small subunit ribosomal RNA", at positions 28 to 507 of the family's 1533-position model. The record is from RNAcentral.